Microcebus murinus (gray mouse lemur) is the source of this 496-nucleotide non-coding RNA. The record is from RefSeq and is a predicted model, not a curated record. Lineage: Eukaryota; Metazoa; Chordata; Mammalia; Primates; Cheirogaleidae.
UCCCACUUGAAAGCUUUUGCUAGCUGCCCAUAAAAAAAUUUCUUUCAAACUUCUGACACUGGCCAAGAAGAUCUGCAUCUCUACUUUGAUCUCAUCUCCCUCAUUUCUUACCUUUCCCUCUAAACUGGCCUUCUUCCUGUCCCCGUGGCCCAUUCCUGCUCCGGGCUCUUCUCCAAGCGCAGGGCAAGAGUAAAUGGAAGGAUAAACUACUAUCUUGCGGGAAAACAGUGGUUCAACUUGGCGAGUGUCUAGAGGAUGAAUACUAUUUCUGCUCAUUGUUGGGGGUAAGGAUAUUGCAUGUACUAGGAUUAUGGGAUGCGAAUGUCUACUAAUAAUUUAGAAUUUUGAACCAUCAGAGAAGGAACAAAAUGACCAAGAAGCCCAAGAACCACGAGGCUAAAACCUUCUGCUCCUCUGAUCAGCUAACUGCAGGCAAUUAGGAGAACUAAGAGGCAUCUCACAAUGAAAGAGUCAAAAAAGUUUUGUUUUUUUUUUU